RNAcentral lists this long non-coding RNA (818 nucleotides) under Mytilus galloprovincialis (Mediterranean mussel). The record is from RNAcentral. Lineage: Eukaryota; Metazoa; Mollusca; Bivalvia; Mytilida; Mytilidae.
UUAACUGAUGUUUGGAACUUUAAAUACACAAAACGUCAUUUGAUAGUAUGCAAGUUCUCAGUUAAAGUUUACUGAUAAAUGCUAGAUCGUAUAAUUUCAUCUAUCUGCAUACUAAGUCAGGAAGAUAAAUUAAUUGAUAGAAUUUGCUACAAAUUUACCUCUUCAUCGACAAAGGAACAUAAAAAACAUUGAAAAUAUUAUGAUACAUCGCUGUGUAUACAAGAAGCAUAAGAACCGUUAUAAAGUAUCAAUUAAUAGUACUUCAGCGUCAAACAAUCGUCAACGAUUUGUACUUCAGCGUCAAACACUCGUCAUUAAGCGUCAACCACUGUCAUUCAAGCGCCAAACAAUAGUUCAUCACCGUCAAGCUAUCGUACUUUAGCGUGAUAAGUAGCGGUUAGAAUAACAUUAGCGGUCCAGAGUCAUAUACUGUUGAUUCAUUAUUGUUCGUUGGAUACCAAUUUUUGUCGUUUUCGUGGGAAAAUGUAAACAACGAAAUUAAAUGUUCAACGAAUGACAAACUUCCCUAUAGGCUUGUAUGCAAACUUCGACAAAACCACGAAAUUAAAUAUCCACAAACAUGUUAGUUUUUCUUAUCCCACGAACAUUGAUACCCAUGCAAAUGUUAAUCAACAGUAUAUUUAUCAAUACCGAUUGGUCUUUUCAAAUGUACUUGCUGUGUUUUAAGAUAAAGCAAAUUAAGAUAAACUAUAAAAAAAAAAUAUCAACAUAUAAACUACACACACAAAAAAAAUGUAUAAUAAUAAAGAGAAGUUGUAUGAUUGAAAAUGAGACAACUAACAACAUAAGUUCAUAUA